RNAcentral lists this long non-coding RNA (571 nucleotides) under Fukomys damarensis (Damara mole-rat). Its description in RNAcentral is "lncRNA (ENSFDAG00000031489.1)". The record is from RNAcentral. Lineage: Eukaryota; Metazoa; Chordata; Mammalia; Rodentia; Bathyergidae.
UAUACCCUGAAGCUGCCAGAUAAAGAUCAAAUGUAAUAAUAUUUGGAAUUUGGAUGGCAACUAUUGUGGCUUUUAAACCACUUGCUAUGUCCAGCUACUUUGCAGUAUGCUGAUAAACUCUUGGAAAGAUGGAUAUGUUUUUAUGGCUUGACUAUAAGCACAUUGUACCCCAUGAAGAUGUACAGUUAUUAUUGGUGUUGUAGGAUUUUGGCAGAAGAAUACAUUUACUACAGGAUGCAUAGUUUAUAGAAUCAUUUUAUUAUGAUUACCCAAAAAGUCAAAUGCAAAGGAAUGCAGGAGAUUAACCACACACUAGGGCCCAAAGAAUCCAGAUGAGGGCCUGGAUCAGCAGUUUCUAGGAGAUUAACCACACACUAGGGCCCAAAGAAUCCAGCUGAGGGCCUGGAUCUCAGCAGUUUCCCACUCAGGUCCAGCUAAAGGCUUAGAGUCCAAGGCAGUGUCCUCCACAAGUCCAGCGAGUGACCUAGAGCCCACGGCAAUGUCUCAUGCUUGUCCAUAUUGAGGAUCUGCACCUGGGAAGGUCCAAAGGCCAGUGGUGGAAGCCAGAAAA